GUCAACACCUACGGAGACAUCAAGAUUAAAAUAUCCAGUCCUGCUCCAAAAGAAGACAUUAUCUCUUGUGAUGGCCAUGAAACUAAGAACAACUGUAAUAAUCAUCAUGGCUUUGGUGUGGCUGCAAGCAGCAGUUGUUGACGGGUGCACUCCGAACCUCCACGAGUGUAUCGGUUCACAAGGGUGUUGCUCAAAUUCGCUAUGCGUGGUAGUUCCUUUUGAGGGUGCGAAAUGCAGGGACAAGGAGACAAUCUGCUGGACAGAGCCUGAAGGUGUCCAGCAUUGUCUACAGCCUGCAUGGCCUUUUUAAAGGAAAUUAUCAAUCAGGAUACAAGCUGUAACG
Molecule: long non-coding RNA, 343 nt
Filed under: Pomacea canaliculata
Lineage: Eukaryota; Metazoa; Mollusca; Gastropoda; Architaenioglossa; Ampullariidae
Description: uncharacterized LOC112567836, transcript variant X1
Source: RNAcentral